RNAcentral lists this long non-coding RNA (646 nucleotides) under Manihot esculenta (cassava). Its description in RNAcentral is "long non-coding RNA (MESC_LNC008366)". Lineage: Eukaryota; Viridiplantae; Streptophyta; Magnoliopsida; Malpighiales; Euphorbiaceae. The record is from RNAcentral.
AUCUUGCUCUGACCUUCUCUUCCUGCUCAAACUCUCUUCUGUCUCCGUCGACAACUCCAAGGAAGAACUAUCUCGCAAUUCUUGCUUUGCUUGGAGCACAGCAUUCAAAUUGCUAGACUGGAAAUUAAGAAAUGUUGGUGUUGGUGAGGUUUCUAGGCCAAUUCCAGGAAACAAACUUCUGCGUUGUUGCAUCGAAAAGUUUGGAUUAAAGCUAGCCGAUCUUAGUUGAGAAGGGACUGACAUACUGGAGCCUGAGCUACGUAGAGAUAUGUUAAGGGAGGUAAAAUUCGCAGGGAUUGUGCCGGUGCCCGUGGCGGCGAUCACUGCUGGUUCUGCCUGUUGAAGCAACCACUCGAUGGUUUCACCAUCUGAUUUGUGACCCAGUUCACGAGUUAGCUGGAAAACCCUAGCAGCGCAAAGAGCAGGCAUGCGAAUUCUGCGGCCACGUCCAUCGACCUUUGUAUGACGAUCUUUAGUGGAUGUUCGUUUAGGAGGAGGUUUCUUGGAGGGUUCUGGUACAAUUUGGAGACUGGAAGUGGAACGGUUCAAGCUACUAUUGGUGUUAUUAUUAUUGUUGUUCGGUUCAGUAGUGGAGAUAGGGAGAGAAGAAGGAUAAGGAGAGGAGGAGGAGCAAGGCUCGUCUUCU